RNAcentral lists this transfer RNA (69 nucleotides) under Urocitellus parryii (Arctic ground squirrel). Its description in RNAcentral is "Spermophilus parryii (Arctic ground squirrel) tRNA". It matches the Rfam family "tRNA". From Rfam's summary of the family: Transfer RNA (tRNA) molecules are approximately 80 nucleotides in length. Their secondary structure includes four short double-helical elements and three loops (D, anti-codon, and T loops). RNAcentral also lists the same sequence under 2 other names. Lineage: Eukaryota; Metazoa; Chordata; Mammalia; Rodentia; Sciuridae. The record is from Rfam by way of RNAcentral.
GGGGAUGUGGCUCAGCGGUAGAGUGCUCACCUCACAUAUGAGAGACACUGGGUUCGAUCCUCAGCACCA